UGUGUGUGUGUGUGUGUGUGUGUGUGUGUGUGUACACACACACACACACACAUGCAUGCAUG
Molecule: microRNA precursor, 62 nt
Filed under: Podarcis lilfordi (Lilford's wall lizard)
Lineage: Eukaryota; Metazoa; Chordata; Lepidosauria; Squamata; Lacertidae
Source: RNAcentral